This 253-nucleotide ribosomal RNA is filed under the name Segatella copri DSM 18205. RNAcentral's name for it is "Prevotella copri DSM 18205 partial 16S ribosomal RNA". It matches the Rfam family "Bacterial small subunit ribosomal RNA", at positions 524 to 776 of the family's 1533-position model. The record is from RNAcentral. Lineage: Bacteria; Pseudomonadati; Bacteroidota; Bacteroidia; Bacteroidales; Prevotellaceae.
UACGGAAGGUCCGGGCGUUAUCCGAAUUUAUUGGGUUUAAAGGGAGCGUAGGCCGGAGAUUAAGCGUGUUGUGAAAUGUAGUGGCUCAACCUCUGCACUGCAGCGCGAACUGGUCUUCUUGAGUACGCACAACGUGGGCGGAAUUCGUGGUGUAGCGGUGAAAUGCUUAGAUAUCACGAAGAACUCCGAUUGCGAAGGCAGCUCACGGGAGCGCAACUGACGCUGAAGCUCGAAAGUGCGGGUAUCGAACAGG